This 111-nucleotide ribosomal RNA is filed under the name Oceanobacillus jeddahensis. The record is from RNAcentral. Lineage: Bacteria; Bacillati; Bacillota; Bacilli; Caryophanales; Bacillaceae.
GGUAGCGAUAGCGAAGAGGUCACACCUGUUCCCAUGCCGAACACAGAAGUUAAGUUCUUCAGCGCCGAUGGUAGUUGGGGGCUUCCCCCUGCGAGAGUAGGACGCCGCCGG